This 460-nucleotide ribosomal RNA is filed under the name uncultured bacterium. Its description in RNAcentral is "partial 16S ribosomal RNA". It matches the Rfam family "Bacterial small subunit ribosomal RNA", at positions 338 to 795 of the family's 1533-position model. The record is from RNAcentral.
CCUACGGGAGGCAGCAGUGAGGAAUAUUGGUCAAUGGACGAGAGUCUGAACCAGCCAAGUAGCGUGAAGGAUGACUGCCCUAUGGGUUGUAAACUUCUUUUAUAUGGGAAUAAAAUGUUCCACGUGUGGGAUUUUGUAUGUACCAUAUGAAUAAGGAUCGGCUAACUCCGUGCCAGCAGCCGCGGUAAUACGGAGGAUCCGAGCGUUAUCCGGAUUUAUUGGGUUUAAAGGGAGCGUAGGUGGAUUGUUAAGUCAGUUGUGAAAGUUUGCGGCUCAACCGUAAAAUUGCAGUUGAAACUGGCAGUCUUGAGUACAGUAGGGGUGGGCGGAAUUCGUGGUGUAGCGGUGAAAUGCUUAGAUAUCACGAAGAACUCCGAUUGCGAAGGCAGUUCACUGGACUGCAACUGACACUGAGGCUCGAAAGUGUGGGUAUCAAACAGGAUUAGAUACCCGAGUAGUC